UACGAAGGUGGCAAGCGUUGUUCGGAUUUACUGGGCGUACAGGGAGCGUAGGCGGUUGGGUAAGCCCUCCGUGAAAUCUCCGGGCCUAACCCGGAAAGGGCGGAGGGGACUGCUCGGCUAGAGGAUGGGAGAGGAGCGCGGAAUUCCCGGUGUAGCGGUGAAAUGAGUAGAGAUCGGGAGGAAGGCCGGUGGCGAAGGCGGCGCUCUGGAACAUUUCUGACGCUGAGGCUCGAAAGCGUGGGGGAGCAAACAGG
Molecule: ribosomal RNA, 254 nt
Filed under: uncultured bacterium
Lineage: Bacteria
Description: partial 16S ribosomal RNA
Rfam family: Bacterial small subunit ribosomal RNA
Source: RNAcentral